RNAcentral lists this ribosomal RNA (397 nucleotides) under uncultured bacterium. Its description in RNAcentral is "partial 16S ribosomal RNA". It matches the Rfam family "Bacterial small subunit ribosomal RNA", at positions 360 to 774 of the family's 1533-position model. The record is from RNAcentral.
AAUCUGGCGCAAUGGGCGAAAGCCUGACGCAGCCAUGCCGCGUGAAGGAUGAAGGUCUUAGGAUUGUAAAAUUCUUUCACCGGGGGCGAUAAUGACGGUACUCGGAGAAGAACCGCCGGCUAAGGGCGUGCCAGCAGCCGCGGUAAUACGAACGGGGCUAGCGUUGCUCGGAAUUACUGGGCGUAAAGGGCGCGUAGGCCGACAUUUAAGUCAGGGGUGAAAUCCCAGAGCUCAACUCUGGACCUGCCUUUGAUACUGGGUGCCUUGAGUGUGAGAGAGGUAUGUGGAACUCCGAGUGUAGAGGUGAAAUUCGUAGAUCUUCGGAAGAACACCAGUGGCGAAGGCGACAUACUGGCUCAUUACUGACGCUGAGGCGCGAAAGCGUGGGGAGCAAACA